RNAcentral lists this ribosomal RNA (460 nucleotides) under uncultured bacterium. RNAcentral's name for it is "partial 16S ribosomal RNA". It matches the Rfam family "Bacterial small subunit ribosomal RNA", at positions 338 to 795 of the family's 1533-position model. The record is from RNAcentral.
CCUACGGGAGGCUGCAGUGAGGAAUAUUGGUCAAUGGGCGCGAGCCUGAACCAGCCAAGUAGCGUGAGGGAGGACGGCCCUACGGGUUGUAAACCUCUUUUGCAGGGGAGCAACGGGCGCCACGUGUGGCGUCACUGAGAGUACCCGGAGAAAAAGCAUCGUCAAACUCCGUGCCAGCAGCCGCGGUAAUAGGGAGGUUGCGAGCGUUAUCCGGAUUUAUUGGGUUAAAAGGGCGCGUAGGCGGACCGUUAAGUCAGUGGUCAAAUUGAGGGGCUCAACCCCUUCCCGCCAUUGAAACUGGCGUUCUUGAGUGGAAGAGAGGUAUGCGGAAUGCGUGGUGUAGCGGUGAAAUGCAUAGAUAUCACGCAGAACCCCGAUUGCGAAGGCAGCAUGCCGGCUUCCGACUGACGCUGAAGCACGAAAGCGUGGGGAUCGAACAGGAUUAGAUACCCCUGUAGUC